UGGACCAGUAUAGACCAGUAUAACCCAGUAUGGACCAGUAUGACCCAGUAUGGACCAGUAUGGGCUGAACUGGGCUGAAAACUUCCCCCUUUGUUUUAUUCGCCUGUAAAACAACAAGAGGAGAAACAACGCGACCCCCAAGUCCUCCAAGCGACCCCCAAGUAAGUCCUCCAAGCAACCCAUAAGUCCUCCAAGCAACCCAUAAGUCCUCCAAGACCUCUAUGAUCACCAUCGUAGUCCUCCAUGGCAUCUCUAUGGUCCUCCAAGCACUCUAUGGUCACAGCUGAGGUCCUCCAAGUUUCACUGGGGUCCUCCAAGGCCUCACUUGGGUCCUCCAACAACUCUAUGAUCAUCGAGGUCCUCCAAGGUGCCAUCAGGGUCCUCCAACAACUCUAUGAUCAUUGAGGUUCUCCAAGGCCUCACUUGGGUCCUCCAACAACUCUAUGAUCGUUGAGGUCCGCCAAGGUGCCACUUGGGUCCUCCAACAACUCUAUGAUCACCAUCGAGGUCCUCCAAGGCAUCUCUAUGGUCCUCCAAGGCAUCACUUGGGUGCUCCAACAACUCUAUGAUCAUCGAGGUCCUCCAAGGUGCCACUUGGGUCCUCCAACAACUCUAUGAUCAUCGAGGUCCUCCAAGGUGCCAUCGGGGUCCUCCAACAACUCUAUGGUCACCAUCGCGGUCCUCCAAGGCCUCACUUGGGUCCUCCAACAACUCUAUGGUUACCAUCGAGGUCCUCCAAGGCAUCUCUAUGGUCCUCCAAGGCCUCACUUGGGUCCUCCAACAACUCUAUGAUCAUCGAGGUCCUCCAAGGCAUCACCGGGGUCCUCCAACAACUCUAUGAUCAUCGAGGUCCUCCAAGGCCUCACUUGGGUCCUCCAACAACUCUAUGAUCCCCAUCAAGGUCCUCCAAGGCAUCUCUAUGGUCCUCCAAGGUGUCGCUGGGGUCCUCCAACAACUCUAUGAUCACCAUCGAGGUCCUCCAAGGCAUCUCCAUGGUCCUCCAAGGCCUCACUUGUGUCCUCCAACAACUCUAUGAUCAUUGAGGUCCUCCAAGGUGUAGCUGGGGUCCUCCAACAACUCUAUGAUCAGCAUCGAGGUCCUCCAAGGCCUCACUUGGGUCCUCCAACAACUCUAUGAUCACCAUCGAGGUCCUCCAAGGCAUCUCUAUGGUCCUCCAAGGUGUCGCUGGGGUCCUCCAACAACUCUGUGAUCAUCGAGGUCCUCCAAGGUGUCGCUGGGGUCCUCCAACAACUGUAUGGUCACCAUCGCUGUCCUCCAAGGCCUCACUUGGGUCCUCCAACAACUCUAUGGUCACCAUCAAGGUCCUCCAAGGCAUCUCUAUGGUCCUCCAAGGCAUCUCUAUGGUCCUCCAAGGCAUCACUUGGGUGCUCCAACAACUCUAUGAUCAUCGAGGUCCUCCAAGGUGCCACUUGGGUCCUCCAACAACUCUAUGAUCAUCGAGGUCCUCCAAGGUGCCAUCGGGGUCCUCCAACAACUCUAUGGUCACCAUCGCGGUCCUCCAAGGCCUCACUUGGGUCCUCCAACAACUCUAUGGUUACCAUCGAGGUCCUCCAAGGCAUCUCUAUGGUCCUCCAAGGCCUCACUUGGGUCCUCCAACAACUCUAUGAUCAUCGAGGUCCUCCAAGGCAUCACCGGGGUCCUCCAACAACUCUAUGAUCAUCGAGGUCCUCCAAGGCCUCACUUGGGUCCUCCAACAACUCUAUGAUCCCCAUCAAGGUCCUCCAAGGCAUCUCUAUGGUCCUCCAAGGUGUCGCUGGGGUCCUCCAACAACUCUAUGAUCACCAUCGAGGUCCUCCAAGGCAUCUCCAUGGUCCUCCAAGGCCUCACUUGUGUCCUCCAACAACUCUAUGAUCAUUGAGGUCCUCCAAGGUGUAGCUGGGGUCCUCCAACAACUCUAUGAUCAGCAUCGAGGUCCUCCAAGGCCUCACUUGGGUCCUCCAACAACUCUAUGAUCACCAUCGAGGUCCUCCAAGGCAUCUCUAUGGUCCUCCAAGGUGUCGCUGGGGUCCUCCAACAACUCUGUGAUCAUCGAGGUCCUCCAAGGUGUCGCUGGGGUCCUCCAACAACUGUAUGGUCACCAUCGCUGUCCUCCAAGGCCUCACUUGGGUCCUCCAACAACUCUAUGGUCACCAUCAAGGUCCUCCAAGGUGCCAUCGGGGUCCUCCAUCAACUCUAUGAUCACCAUCAAUGUCCUCCAAGGCAUCUCUAUGGUCCUCCAAGGCAUCUCUAUGGUCCUCCAAGAACUCUAUGAUCCUUACGGUCCUCCAAGGCUUCACUUGGGUCCUCCAACAACUCUAUGAUCAAUGGGGAGGACCAUUGGGGAGGGAGAUGGGGACAUAGGGACCAAUGGGGUGGGGGACGGGAACAUACAGACCAAUGGGGUUGGAGAUGGGGAUAUAGGGACCAAUGGGGUGGGGAGAUGGUGUGGGGAUCCCCAAGCAGCCAAUCAGGAGGCCACGUAUGUCUCUGGGAUGGGGAAUAGGGACCAAUGGGGGGCGAGCUGAUCACGGAGGGGCCCAAUAGGAGCCAAUAGGGGCCCAAUAGGAACCAAUAGGGACCCAAUAGGGUUGGGAGGACCCAAUAGGAACCAAUAGGGGCCCAAUAGAACCCAGUAGGGGCCCAAUAGAAGCCAAGAGGGGAUGGGAGGAGCCAAUAGGAGCCCAAUAGAAGUCAGUAGGGACACAAUAGGAACCAAUAGGGGCCCAAUAGAGGCCAAUAGGGUUGGGAGGACCCAAUAGGAGCCAAUAGAAGCUAAUAGGGGAUGGGAGGACCCAAUAGGAGCCAAUAGAAGCCAAUAGGGGAUGGGAGGAUCCAAUAGGAGCCAAUACAAGCCAAUAGGGGAUGGGAGGAGCCAAUAGGAGCCCAAUAGAACCCAGUAGAGGUCCAAUAGGAACCAAUAGGGGCCCAAUAGGAACCAAUAGGGGCCCAAUAGGAGCCAGUAGGGACCCAAUAGAGGCCAAUAGGGAUGGGAGGAGCCAAUAGGAGCCCAAUAGAACCCAGUAGGGGCCCAAUAGGAGCCAAUAGGGGCCCAAUAGAGGCCAAUAGGGGAUGGGAGCACCCCAAUAGAAGCCAAUAGGGGAUGGGAGGACACAAUAGAAGCCAAUAAGGGCCCAAUAGAGGCUAUAGGGUUGGGAGGACCCAAUAGACGUCAAGUUGAUUAUGUUGAGAACCAAUAGGAGCCAUAGGGAUGGGAGGACCCCAAUAGGGAUGGGAGGACCCCAAUAGAAGCCAAUAGGGGAUGGGAGGACCCUAUAGACGUCGAGUUGAUCACGUUGGGGCCCAAUAGGAGUCAAUAGAAGCCAAUAGGAACCCCAUAGAGGCUAUAGGGUUGGGAGGACCCAAAAGGAGCCCCAUAGAAGCCAUUAGGGACCCAAUAGAACCCAAUAAGGGGCCCUAUAGAAGCCAUAGGGGAUGGGAGGACCCCAAUAGGGAUGGGAGGACCCCAAUAGAAGCCAAUAGGGGAUGAGAGGACCCAAUAGACGUUGAGUUGAUCACACUGGGGCCCAAUAGGAGUCAAUAGAAGCCAAUAGGAACCCCAUAGAGGCUAUAGGGUUGGGAGGACCUAAAAGGAGACCGAUAGAACCCAGUAGGGACCCAAUAGGAACCAAUAGGGGCCCAAUAGAAGGCACAGGGGAUGGGAGGACCCUAUAGAUGUCGAGAUGAUCAUGUUGGGGCCCAAUAGAAGCCAGUAGAGACCCAAUAGAAGCCAUAGGGGAUGGGAGGACCCUAUAGACGUCGUGUUGAUCAUGUUGGGACCCAAUAGGACACAGUAGGGGCCCAAUAGAAGCCAAUAGGGUUAGGAGGACCC
This is a non-coding RNA of Coturnix japonica (Japanese quail), 3829 nucleotides long. The record is from RefSeq and is a predicted model, not a curated record. Lineage: Eukaryota; Metazoa; Chordata; Aves; Galliformes; Phasianidae.